Molecule: long non-coding RNA, 796 nt
Filed under: Naja naja (Indian cobra)
Lineage: Eukaryota; Metazoa; Chordata; Lepidosauria; Squamata; Elapidae
Description: lncRNA (ENSNNAG00000011483.1)
Source: RNAcentral
GUUUUGUGUGUGUGUGUGUGAGAGAGAAAUAUUCUAUUUGCCUUAUAAAGGGGUUGUGUGAUUGUGCGUAUCUAUCAUUUGCCCAAAGGGUGUGUGUUUUGUGUGUGUGUGUGAGAGAGAAAUAUUCUAUUUGCCUUAUAAAGGGGUUGUGUGUGUGUGUGUGUCUAUCAUUGGCCCAAAGAGUCCGUAUGCGUGUGUGUGUUUCUACUAUUUGCCCAAGUGUGUGUGUGCGCGUGAGAGAGAGAGAGAGAUUCUAUUUGCCUUAUAACGGGGUUGUGUGUGUGUGUGUCUAUCAUAUGCCCAAAGAGUCCGUAUGUGUGUGUGUUUCUACUAUUUGCCCAAGUGUGUGUGUGUGCGUGAGAGAGAGAGAGAGAGAGACAUUCUACCAUUUGCCUUAUAAACGGGUUGUGUGUUUGCGCAUGUGUCUAAUAUUUGUCCGAAAGGGUGUAUGAAGAAUUCACUUCCGAAGCCGUUCAAGGAAACAGAAACCUCCAGUCCUUGUUCUGUGAAAGACUUAACUUCCUACUUUGGGCCCCCUUAUUUUCCAUCCAGCUGGCAGGAAAGAGAGAGAAACGAGGAGCAGCGACGAGCUUUCGGCGUGAUAACAUUUCCGCCUCCCGCUCACCAGAUCCUCCGACUCGGUCCUUGCAGGGGGCCCAGCCCAGCCUUCAAGUUUGGCCAAAAUUACGGUGCCCGCUUAUUCCGCAGCAUUUCAAAUAUUUGCCCUGGAGGACGUCAUACAUUUAGGCUUCCUGGUAUCCCAGCUUUGAUAAAGUUUGAGGAGCUGUGCCCUUCC